CAAUAGCGUAUAUUAAAGUUGUUGCAGUUAAAAAGCUCGUAGUUGGAUUUCUGGUUGAAGCGACCGGUCGGGCGUUGAUUCGUCUGCACUGGAGUCGGUUUUGGCCAUCCUCUAGGAAAGUGCGUCUGGUAUUAAGUUAUCGGGCGUAUGAUCCUGGUCUUUUACUGUGAAAAAAUUAGAGUGUUUAAAGCAGGCCUUCGCCUUGAAUACAUUAGCAUGGAAUAAUAAGAUAGGACUUUGGUCUAUUUUGUUGGUUUGCAGACCGAAGUAAUGAUUAAUAGGGAUAGUUGGGGGUAUUUAUAUUUCGAUGUCAGAGGUGAAAUUCUUAGAUUUUCGGAAGAUAAACUUAUGCGAAAGCAUUUACCAAGGAUGUUUUCAUUAA
Molecule: ribosomal RNA, 382 nt
Filed under: uncultured eukaryote
Lineage: Eukaryota
Description: partial 18S ribosomal RNA
Rfam family: Eukaryotic small subunit ribosomal RNA
Source: RNAcentral